Molecule: long non-coding RNA, 35870 nt
Organism: Gallus gallus (chicken)
Lineage: Eukaryota; Metazoa; Chordata; Aves; Galliformes; Phasianidae
Source: Ensembl
AUAUAUAUAACCAGAAGCUGUUUUUCUCAAAUGUUUUUUUUUCCCUGAAGCAUAUACCCCAGGUGGCUCUACUUUGUUUCAGUGUGAAGACUACCUGUGAUAAAAUGAGCUGCUACACCCACAUUCCUGUUAUUAUGUAACUUUUUUUUUCCCCCUCAAGUAGAUCCUCCUUUUCUACCCUUUAUGUUCCAUUUGGAUUAGUAGUUAGUAUUUAAAUAUCUGCCUGCCAUUUGUUUGUUUCUUGACAGGGAUCCUGGGAAGCAGGUUUUAGAGUACCUAGCUGUUAUCAGAUGAGAGGUGCUGAUGACUGGGGUGAUAAAAACAGAUUGAAGAUGAACAGCUCAGCAACAUGCAAGAGGUGUAAAUGCUUCGGCUGGGAGCUUUAGAACAAAACAGAUGGUUGUAGGGACUGAAGAAAUAGGGAUGCUACAGUUCAUGGAGCUUAGUUUAGAAGGUGCUUUGAGGCAUAGUCAAGGAUAGCAGAUCAGAAAAAAAAAGCAGGAUUAAAGAAGCUGGUGAACAGAAAAGUGAGAGGGCAGCAAGGAAGACUGGGAGUGUGAAACAGGUUUUAUGGGGUCAGUAAUGAGCUUAGGUUUAGGUGGUUUAGAAAAUGAAGUUUCAAGGAUGAUGAGUUGUGUAUGGGAGGAACAUAAAGACAUAAAGGUGGUUGAGGCUGGAUAUUCAGGCUGGGAAAUGUUGGGAGGUUCUGAAGAAGGAGCAGUGGGGAUGUUUGAUGUCUUGGACUCCUUAGGACAUAAGAAGAUGGAAAUAGAGCCUGACAGGCAAGAGAAAUGGGACUGGGCUCUGGCAUGUUUUAGCUGGCAGUAUAUGAGUGUAACAUACUCUAUAGUAUGCUAGCUAAACUACAUUUAUAUUGUAUGUAUUCAGCAACUGAAAUAAGGAGAGCUAGCAAAAAUCCCUCAUAUAGUCGGAUAGACCUUCUUUCCCUAAUUCAUCCAUAGACAAUCCAAGGAAAUUAUAGAAGUUCAUCUCAGUUUCACUGCAAAUAAUGUUUCAGGCAAACGUGCUCCAAUAGCGCAUUCAGAUAAAUCCUUACAGGAAAAAAAAAAGAAAAAACUUAGCCUUUGGAACAGAAAAAUACAUUUUACAGAUGUGCUGCGUUGAAGUUACUAUGUUCUCUGACCAGGUUACCAUUCAGUCUCCUAUGGAGAUGCUAGCUACUAGCCAAUGUCAUUAACUAAGAGGAUACUGUCAAUUACUCUAAAGCCUGCCUAACUUGCAGCAAAUUUCACUGGUUUUUAGGAGAGCACUGUUGCUUAGAGAAGAAUGAUUUGCAGUUAAGUUCAUUACCAUUUGUCUCCCCAAAGACUGCAAGCCUGUCUCUGUGUGAAAUUUAGUGUUGUCUCUCUGGAGCCUGUAACCCAGUUUCUGAACUCUUGUUGUUGGGAGAGAACUGCUGAGGUAAAUACUCUGGUGAGUAUGCAGGUGAACACAUUGUCUCACUGCUUGCACUCAGCCUAUAACCAGUGUGGCUUCUCUUUUUUGCUUAAUUUGUAGUUUGUUCACCUCAGGUUUGUUUACUCCUAGCAAGUACGCUUAUUACUUGUUAGUUCUUCGCUUAUGGUUUGUUUGCAUUUAUCUUACAAUAGGUUUGCUGGCAAAUUAUACCCAAUUAGUAAUCCUCACAUAAUUAACUGAUAAUUAACUGAUUUGCUAACACCUUGCUUGCUACCUGCUUACAGAAUUUGACAGACAAGAAUAUUUUUAUAUUAUGCAGGUCCCGAUGAUGAGGAGAGGAGCUUUAUGCAAGUUCAAAAUGUACAUGACUCUGGACCUUAUUUGGCUGAGUUAUGGAGUAACCUGCCAUGUUUCUGGAAUAAAGAAAUAGGUUGUAUGUUUUAAGUGGGGAGAAAAUGAAUAAUUCAACAACAAGGGUCGAAUUGUCCUGCCAAGAAAAACCUACUGGAGAGGAAGUACACAGAGUUAUAAUUAUUUGCAUUGUAGAUAAUAAUAUCAAUUAUAGUUUCCAGCUGGAAUCAAGUUUCUAUACUUCUGGCUUCUGUACAAUCACAGGGUAACAGUGUUUCAGUCACAACAAGUUUGAGCCAAAUAAAGACAAAGCUCAAUUAGUGAAACAACAUAAAUUGGCAGAAGCCUGGGGUUGGACAAUUACAGGCUGCUGUUUGGAUAUAGUUACAUAUGGCAGUUUGGUGACAAUCAGCAGCACUAAUCAGCAUUUAUAGUUGAUGUCAUUUUGCAAACAAAGAGUUUUAACCUAUUGUAAAAGCCAGUUCUAAGACAAUCUAUUCUUACACCAAAUGGGAAAUAUCUGCCUAGGAUGAAGUUCAAAAGUAUAAGUGAAAUUGCUAUCUGAUUACCUUCUUAUAAAUUGUGGUAUCGAGUCCUUCCAGGAGCCUCAACUUCUGGAAUUAGAGCUGGUUUCUUAAGGGGUGGUAGCUCUGCCAUUUCCCCUGGGGGAACUACCUGCACCCACUGGCAGGAGGGCUGGGGCAGCCAGGUGCAUAUGGGUGGGAGUAGCCUUUAGCUGCUCUCCAGGAGAGAUUGAGGACUGGGCUGGUCUGGGGCAUGGGCACAAGCUAGCAAAAAUCCCAUGCUUGAUGCCUACUGGGAAACCUUGCCUGGCAUGGAGCCCUGAACAUCAGGCUGGCACUGCUGAGUAUUAAGGUGAAUAUCCCUCCAAACCUUUUCUGAAAGAGGGAGUAGCAAUCCUGGCUUUUUGAGAGUUUUCUCCUAGUUUCUUUCUCCUAGUUUUCCUUAGUUCCCUGUGUCUUUCCCCAUGCUUUUUCUCUUCCUGUAGAAGUACCUUUGGUUCCUCCCACCUUUGAGUUGCAAAAUUCAGUUUUGUCUAAGCUUCUGAAAAGUGUUGUGCUGCUUCUGUCCCAGAUGGACUAACUUUUCCAUGGGACUGAGUGGUGAGGCCCUCACAAAAUCUAGAGGCACAGAUCCAACUGAAAACCACCACCCCCUUUUCAUCAGUGAAGAUACUGAAGCAAGGACAUCAACCUGUUUGUGAGGGAUAUCAAGUAUUCAUGCAUGUCACUGAUCUCCACAGAGAUGGUAAAUGCCUUCGCCCACCUUGUACAACCAAUUUGAAAGAGUAUAUGUAAUUCAAAUGGCUCUGAUUGUCUCACCAAUCUGCAUGGUUUAUUAAUAACUGUUCUCAGAUCCUAAGAAAACACAAGUAUGUGUCACUCAGUAGUGGAACAGAUGAAGGCAAAAUGGAGAGGGGGGAAAAAAAGAAGUGACAGUACAUACAACUGUGGUCAGCUCUCUGGAGUAGUUGUCUUUAUCUUAGGAAGACUGUUUGUUUGUUUGUUUUCCUGAGGCAACAUCCACAAAUUCUUACAGGUGGCAGCAGCGAAGCCAGCCAGGGGCUUGCCUUCCUCUUGUGUUACUUGACUCUGCUGGUAGUCAUAGCAUUGCCUCACUGGAUACUGAUUCCUCUUCAUGUACCCUGUGUUGAUGAUAUGUGCAAAAUCUUCUGACACUGUCCCCCCCAACAUUCUCAUGGAGAAGCUGGCUGCCCAUGGUUUGAAUGGCCAUACACUCUGCUCGGUGAAAUCCUGGCUGGAUGGCCAGGCCCAAGUAGUUGUGGUCAAUGGAGUUAAAUCCAGUUGGCGGCUGGUCAUGAGCGGUGUCCCCCAGGGCUUGGUACUGGAGCCACUUCUAUUUAACAUCUUCAUUAAUGAUCUUGAUGAGGGGAUUGAGUGCAUCCUCAGUAAGUUUGCAGAUGAUGCCAAGUUGGGAGGGAGUGUUGAUCUGCCUGUUGGGAGAAAGACACUACAGAGGGACCUGGAUAGACAGAUCAAUUGGCCAAGGUUAACUGUAUGAGUUUCCACAGGGCUAAGUGUCGGGUCCUGUAUUUUGGUCACAACAACCCCAGGCAACCCUACAGGCUUGGGGAGGAGCGGCUGGAAAGCUGCCUGAUGGAAAGGGACCUUGACAUACUGAUGGACAGUCGUCUGAAUAUGAGCCAGCAGUGUGCCCAGGUGGCCAAGAAGGCCAAUGGCAUCCUGGCUGGUAUCAGGAAUGGUGUGGUGAGCAGGACUAGGAAAGUAAUCUUGCCCCUGUACUCGGCAUUGGUGAGGCCUUACCUUGAGUACUGUGUUCAGUUUUGGGCACCUCAGUACAGAAAGGAAUGGAGGUGCUGGAGCAGGUCCAAAGAAGGGCAACAAGGCUUGUGAAGGGCUUGGAGAAAGUGCCCUACGAGGAGAGACUGAAGGAACUGGGGCUGUUUAGUCUGUGGAAAAGGAGGCUGAGGGGAGACCUCAUUGCUCUCUUCCAAUACCUGAAAGAUGAUUGCUGUGAAAGUGGGGUUGGUCUGUUCUCACUGGUGACAGGUGAGAGGACAAGGGUUAAUGGCUUUAAGUUGCACCAGGGUAAAGGUUAGGUUGGAUAUUAGGACAUACUUCUUUACAGAAAUGGUUGUUAAGCACUGGAAUAGAUUCCCCAGGGAGGUGGUUGAGUCACCAUCCCUGAAGGUGUUUAAAAACCGUUUGGAUGUGGUGCUCAGGGACAUGAUUUAGUGGAGGGUUGUUAGUUAAGGUAGUAUGGUUAGGUUGUGGUUGGACUCAAUGAUCUUUAAGGUCUUUUCCAACCUGAGUGUUUCUAUGAUUCUUUUCUAGGACAGUGUUUCAUAAUGGGCUGCUAUUUUAAUAACUGAGUGUCAGGUGGAUAGAAACACCUUAUGUUUUCCUUUUCCCGCUGGUAGGAGAAGACACAACCUUCUCUUCCACUUCCUACCCUUUAGGAAGAAGAAACACCUACUUCUUCUGCUACCUAAAAGACACAGCGAGAGGCCCCUCCUUAUGUUAGCUAGUGCAGUUCUGGUCAUCCCAACAGUUGGAUGACCUAUUUUUGUAUCCCAUUAAUGCACCCUCUGGGGAGACUGGUGAUCUGACUACCUUGCUCCUCUCAGGGGAAUCAUUCAUGCUCCCACUUUCAGAUUGGAUCUCAAGACUUGGACUGAAGUGUUUACUGGCAGGGUUAACUCAACAGGACUGACAGGAUUUGGUGCAUACACACCCUUUAUCCCUGUUGUGACAGCAGUUAAUUAAAGUGACUCAGAAAACAUCUUCUCCAAAAUGAAGUCAUGUUUAUUUGCCAAAGGAGCAUCCGCAGAAGUGCUCAGAACACCCAAGAGCCUUGUAGCUUCCCUUGACCUGCUUGUAGGUCUGGCUCUGCCCUAGCUGGGUAGGGAGGCUAUCUGCUGUGCUACCUGUCUGUCAAAAGCUCCUCUCUCCUCUGCUGGUGUUUGCCAAGACAGCACCUUUAAUCUCCAAACUUCUCCUUAACCUUAAGAAGUAGAAGCACUGACUGCCUGAGAGGAGCGGGCCUCUUUUUUCUGGGGAUGCUCACAUAGCUUCUUACUCAAUUCCCAUUGACAGUUUGAUUGCAUUGUCAUUUCUGGUGCUCAGCAAGAAGGCAUGGCAGACAAAAUGAGGUAUAAGCAAUAUAUGCCAAAGAGUCUGCAUUUUUCUUAUACAGUUGAGAUAUGGCAGGAAAAAGAGGAUGCUUUUCUUUCUUAAGAGGAUGUGGAAAAGCGUAUUCUAGUGUUAAAAGAACUAUGCAAUCAACAAAAACUCCUGAAAUGAGAUCUUCCAUUUAUGUUCACUUAAAUGCCAUUCAGCCAGAUGGACUCUGUCUCCAUGCAAUCCUUUAGGAAGAUGUGCAAAAGGUCUGUGCAGCUCUGGCAGCACAGCUAUGCAGGGGGAGCUCCCAGUGAGCGAGCGCCAUUUCCCCUCACACAGCACCAAUUCUGGGGGGGCUGCAACAGGCAGAGCCAUGUUGAAUUGCAGUCAUGGCAGAGUGUGGAAGUACUCAGGGCUGUUUGUAAGAUAUCAACCUUCCAUAGUUAUGGUUUCUCUAAAAGAUGUUAACAUUAGUGAUGGAUAUUUGACUGCCAUAGUUUUGUCCAUUUGCAAGCACAGGAACUGAAAAGAAACAUCUACUCCAUGAUUAGGAAAAUAGGGUCCCAUCCCUAAUUGCUGUGCAAAUAAAACUAAUUGUAGUACAAAAAAGGCAGUGCCCAAAAGAAAACAUACAAUUUCCUGUAUGAUUUCUUUUCCACGUGAAGAAAUUAGGACUGAAACUUAAUGUGGUUAUUGCUGAAACUGCUUUGAUGAUUGGAACUUCCGCCCAUGGCAAUGCAAGCAGGUCAGAGGCUGACUUAAAAUAAACAUUCCUGAGCUGAAGAAAAGGAAGACUAAUUAUCUUCUGCUUGCAGUGCUUGUGUAAUCCUGUGAGGCAUGGGGACAGAAAUCUGGAGAACCAAAAAUAUAGAAAUAUUUCUGGAUUUUAUUAAUGGAAGCAUUAAAAUUUACAUUUUCUGCCCUUUUUAUUUGGUGUGAUGACUGCAUGCAAUGCAUGAAGGAAGAUCAGAAUAAAUAGCUAGACAAAGAUAUCUCAGUUCACUGUAGAAGAGACACUACAGGCAAAUAGUAUGGCACCGGUGAUGCUGCAUUUGAAUUCCCAAGACUAAUCUUACAUUACUUCAUGCUGAAGAAAUAAUACAUUAUUAUAGAUGUGUUUUCUUUAUCCUCCUAAACUUAUUUCUUACGUAGUUGGCUCAUAAGUGCGUGGAAGGAAUGCUUUACCCAUAUUAAAAAUAUUACCUUACUUAUUAAAACUUGUUAGUUUUCAUAAUUUCCCUUUUCAAUUAUCUUUUAUUUUUUAUUUCUUAUAACUGUUCUUGGCAUAUUUUCAUUGCUUACACUUUUUUUUUUUGGUUUUUAACUCCUAAUGACAGGUUGCAAAAACAAUCAGGCUUUUUAUAUUCCAGUAGCUAAUAAAUGCAGUUCAUUUACCUCCUUUCUAUUUUUACUUUAAUUUCAUUGCCUUCAGUUUAGGGCACAGAGUAUACAACAGCUUUCAUUUGAGUAUCUUGGGCAUUUUUGUGUACUUUAUAUAGCUAUUAGUUCUGUACACAUGCUAUUAAAAAACUUAAAAUUCCUUUUGUCACUCACAGUCACCACUCUCCUCAAGGUAUGGUAUUGGGGUACUCUUUGCAUCAUGACUUUUUUUUUUCCUCAUACUUUCAUUGGAUGUCUGAAAAUCCGUACUUUCUUGAGGGUGUUAGGGGAUGUUCCGGAUCUCCUCAAGCCCUUUUGGAAACUAAGGCUUUUUGGGGAGAUGGUGCCACUGAGAACAGAAAAGUUUAAAAUGAGGAAUAAAAAUGUAAGAAUAACGAUUUUUGGCUAAGAAGAGGUUGUAUACGUUUAUUUGUAGACAGCAGCUACUCUGUGUUAAGGUUACAGUGUCUGAUUGGAACCUCUCAGGAUCCUUUGGACUUGAGGAAAAGGGAGGGUGUUGCAGGACUAUAGUCUUGUUUCAGCCUCAGUUUGUGAAGCAAGGCUUAGAGGUGUUAGUUUCUUUGAAAUGAAAUUUUUAGGUGUUGGAAUAGGAUGUGUUAAUGUAUUUUUUUGUGGUUUGCUUUACCCAACUAAAAUGUCACUGAAAUUUGAACCCUGACGUAGUGCUCCUGAAUAUUAGCUCUUAGUUCUCUACUUCUGAAGAAACAUCUUCUCACACUGUGGAGUUUUUGUUUGCUUUGGUUGUUGGGCUUUGUAGUUCAGGAUUCUUUUUGUCAUUAUAAAUCCCUUAUGAAGUGACCUGCAUCCUUGCAUCCCUACUUCUGAGCAGCUCUACAAGUAUUCAUUGCCCAAACAUUAUCUGUAGAUGCAUAGCAAAGAUAUUUUGAUUUCAGCCCUUUGGACUGAGUUGCUUCUGCACAGUUCUGCUCAGACGUAGAGGCUCCAUGCUUAGACAAGAGAAACUCAAGGUAUAAGAUGGAGACAUGCAGUAGUGAGUGGAGCUUUUUGUAAAUGUUAUUCCCCCUUAUUAGUAAUGAGAUAUACUCGGUGUAUGUGUGUGAGAAUGAGCAUGUAUGUUCAUACGUCUACAUACAUUUACACAUUAUAAACUAUUUAUAUGUUAAAUAAUUUUUGUCUUGCUACAGUGUGAAAUUCCAAAUGAGAACAAUACAGCUUCUAUUUUUGCAGGAUUUAUUGCUACUACGAAACUGCUAAUAGUGAUUGGAGGAAGACGCUGUUUUCCUACUUUUCACAGAUGUCCUUUACAGCCUGCAGUGUAUUAAAGUUGUUAUGGUUGUGACUAUGGUCCCAUAGUUAAAUUAUGUACUUAUUCACUUAAUAUUAAUUUACAAGACAGACAGUAAGAGACUUUAAAAGAUUUCUUUCCCUCCUUGUGUCAGGAAACUUAUCUGUCAAACAUUAACCAAACAAACAAACAAACAAAAUAAUAUAAGAUUAUGUAAUAAUAGACUUGAACAGUUAAUCUGACCAGAUGUCUCUGAUGAAACACACUCUUACUCUUAUGAAUGAAUGUUUUCUGUUUGCCAGAAAGACACUCUAUUGAAAGACAUUCUGGUUCGGUUUGUUGGUUGGUUGUUUUUGUUUUUGUUUCUUUUUGUAAUCCCAUUGUCUGUACAGAAAAAAAGUACUGUGAAAUUAUAUGGGGAAUAUUAUGUAAAUAGUUACGUAGUUUUUUUCUUUGUUGCUACAGAUGUAAGCAAUUUUAAUUAAUUUCUAUAUAGGUGAAGAUAGACUAGUAAGUAGCCAGAAUGUCCCUAGGCAUUACUUAUUCUGUGUGAGAAAGUUGCCAAAAAGCUUGUUAGGUUUAUCGGUCUUUUGAUGAUGACGUGUCAAAGCCAUCAUGUGAAAGCUGUUCUUCAUUGCCUCACAUCUGUUACAAGAAAUAUUACUCUUCUAACAAAUUUAACUUCUAGACUAGGGAUUACGAUGUCAAUAAUAGCUUUUUUUUUAUUAGUUUAUCUGUUUAUUUAUUUAUUUUUAGAAGCUCCCCACCACAAUACCAGUAAAUGUUUUUGUGCUGGUAGUACUGGAAGCAGUAACACAAACCAAGAUCAGAUGUUUUCCAGCACUUGACUUUAAAGACUGCUGAUACAUUGCCUGGACAGGCAGAUCACAUCUUGGAAACUGUUCUUCAUGCCUGUUAAGUAACAGAUUUGUAUGUUGUAAGUAUAUCCAUGUUGUAAUGAUCUUACUCUUACGCUUCAUUAUGAUGUUCUUGGUGAUGGAAUUCAGUGCAUUUUAGAUAUUAAUCUAACAUGGUUAAAAAAGAUUCCUCUGCGAUGAGAUUUUGCAUCUUCCAUUUGUGCUGGCCUGCAUGUCUGUCAUAAGAAUGAUUUCUGAAGCCUCACUUAUGUCACUUGCCAAUGUAUGGAUUUUGACAAGUAUGGGAGGGACUCGGGAGGUAUCAGAAACAUGGCAAUGUACUAACCCCGUUACUGAUUGUGCAGUGUUCUUAAAUUUAUAUUAAUGAGAUUAUUGUAGAUUAUCUUCCCUGUAGAUUAGGGAAACAUCUUCAGGGCGGGGAGAGCAGUUAGGCUGUCUCUGUGAGAUAUGAGUAAAGCUGACUUCCUACAGCUCCAGAUCAGAACAGAGGCUUUUCUGAUCUUCAGGUGCCUAUCAGACCAUAGAGGUAGUAUUUCCAUUUCCAUUAAAACUAUAAUUGUUACUGACAUGCCUGAUUCUUUCUGUCAACGGGUGUAUCAUAGGUAGGAUCUAGCCACACGCCACAGGAGUGUUUGUUCUACUAAUAUUUUGUUUCUAGGUUUAAACACUAAUGGCAAAACAUGUUUAUGUCCUGCUGUCUUUAUAUGAACUUGAAAAUAUAUUACCAAAGGUGUUACAACCUUUAUGAAAUACUCAGAUGUAUCAUUACUACACUUACACCGCCCUUGUCCCUCCCUGCAUUUCAGCUGCACUAGUGAUGGUGGGAAAAACCAUAUGCUGGGAGGACUUAAGUGCUUUUGGCCAUUUGGUGGCUCCAGUUCUUACUCCAGAAGGAGGGAAUAUGGUUUGUGCUUUUGGUAGUGCUUAACUGUACUGACAGGAGAAGUUCAGCUGUAAGCACUUUUGAAUAUAAUUUAAUUUGCAACUUCUUGGCUUACCAUAAAAACAAGUCCAAUUCAGGGAUGGUGGAAUGGACCACCAUCCUCACCCCACAACUUGUGCUGUGCUACAGAGACGUACUGGGGAGCAAAUACUGACAACACUGAAUCCUUCAGGGACCUUGCAUACCCCAGUGAGUCAGACAUGUCUGUGCUGUAGUGAGAUGUGGAGGCAUCAGGCAGUGGGAACUGCCCACUUUGAUAUUCACUGCUGUCCUUCACGUGCUAGUAUCCACAUAAAUAUUUCCCACGGUUGAGAGAGAUAUUAAGACCUGUGGAGAAGAAGAGCAAGACAUUGUGGGAAAAUGUGUCAUGUCACAUACCUUGGCACAUCUGAGGUAAUACUUAUGCCUCAGAUAACAGCAACUAGCACAGGGGAAGUAGGUUGAGUAUGCAAAAUAUUCAUUGUACCCUGAGGUCCUCAAACACUCCUGUGAUUAGAUAUGCCCACUGUUGAAUCAAGGAGGGAUUAGAGAAAAGGUGUAGCUGACACAUCUACAAAAACUAAAUAAAUAAAUAAUAAUAAAAAAAUAGCCUACUGUGUUCAGAAGGAAAUAAGAAUAGCAAACUGAAACUCUUCCAAAAAAGACAGGUGUGUGAAUAAUUCCUGCCAAAGGAAGGUAUAGCGCUGUUUACAUUGCUGCAGUUAAGCAGAACUUCACUUCACCUCCCAGAGCACAAAUAUUGAGAUUUUUAAUGAAAGCAGCUGCAGGAUAUCUAAGAACAAGGAGGGUAUCUUUAGAUCUGAAUAUAUUGGCACAGGCUCUGUUAACCUUGUAAGUCAGGAAGUAAUGAAGUAAUUUAAAUGUUCUGGUUCUCUACUCAACAGCAGAGAUUAGCAAGACAACUGCCUUGGAACGUUUGGUCCAUGUCUAAUUCCCUCUGUGCUUUGCUGGUUUGAGAUAGAUGCAGAUACAUAAUAACUAUUGAGAGUCAAAAUGUCAAAAUAAUUUGGCAAAGCUUGUAUCCUACCUUUCUCCAAAUGGAGUAAAUCUGGAGGUGUAUUUGGUAUUAGCCUCAGUAGAGGCUAAUUGUAACAAGCUGGGUGUUACAAGCUGGAUAAGGGGCCUGGCUAAUCAAGCAUGGGGAAACUUCUUGUAGCAAAACCUCUCAGAAAAGCAGACUCUAGUGCAAGCUGGGGAUUUUUACCUAGUGAAUGCUAAAGGAAAUUGCAUUUGUAAAUGGUCAGAUGAGAUGAAUAUGUGCCGGCAGAAAAAUACAUUUUUAUGUGUCUCUACCUACUAUUUAUUGGGUAUAAUAUCCAAUUCAGUACUACAGGAAACAAUUCAUACAUUAAGAUGCUUGAGAUAAUUACUGACACCGUAGUGUCAGUACAAACAAACAAACAAAAAACUAGUAUCAAACACCAUAAGUGUUAGAGAGAUGAAAACCUACAGUAAGACUUCCAGACAUAUUGAGCUAGUCAGCAGUCUCCAUUAUCUGUAGUCCAAGAUCUGUGCCCUGCUUCAGCGGCACUUACACUGUUUCAGAUGCUUCCAAUUGUCCUGUACUGCUGAAUACAGAAAUCUUUCUAAGAAAAUGAGAAGAUAUGAAAAUAAAAAACAGUGAUUUGACUGAAAACAAAGAAUGUGGCAGGCAAGUUUAAGCCAGUUCUUUUGGAUCUUAAAUCAGUUGUCAGUGAUGGAAAGGAAAUGAAUGCAUUUUUGCUUACACAGAUUAUUAAGAGGAGUGGGAGAGAACUUGACAUGCCCCAAAAGCAGAUCCUACUACAGACUAAGGAAGACAAUUUAUUAUGCAAGAAGAACCAGUGGCUUAAUUCACUAUAGUAUGUCCUAUUUAUUUAUUUAAUAUACACCCCCGUCUUACAGGAAAUAGGUUGCGUCAGUUAAAUGAGCACUGAAAUCGUACAGCACUACUCCUAAGCACUACUGAAGGCAUGGCACAGGUGCUAUGCUACUUUGCUAUGGUAAAGCUGCCUAGGAUGAUUGAAGAGCAUGACCUGCAUUUCAUCAAAAUAUGAAGCAUCCAAAUUGCAUUUUUCUUAACCACUACAAGUUAAUAUAUGUUAUAUAAUUAAGAACUUGAGCUGAGUUGGAUGUUGAAACUCGAGGCUUUCAAAUUCAACAAAACUACUACCUUUAUGCUCUAUUUCUCUAUGCACUUUUAAAACUUUUGGACCAUUUCAUCUACUAUAUGAAUGGGCAUGAAAAUGUCAGAGAUAUGAAGCUUCUGCUCCUUUCAGGAGAAUCAGUGCAUAAAUAGUGGAAUAAGACCCAGAGAGAUGUCCCUGCUGAGGAAAACACUGCAGUACAAGGCAGAGUGUGAGUUGGAGGGUAAGCUGUGAGAAGAUGGCUAGGAAAAAUGCAAAUUCAAAAGGAAAAAAAAAUGAUUCAUCAGUUUUUUCUUCAUGGCAUGACUUGCUUUUUUUGUAUUUUAAAAUGUCACAGUUCAGAAAUUAUUGAAAAUUGUUACAAAGUUCUCUAUCUGAUAAUGUAGCUAUGUCAUCAUAUUAAAUUACCGUGCUGGCUUAGCAAGCUAAAAAGUAUUUUUGAAAGACUUGAGAUUUCAGAGAACCGUAAUUCACACUGUCUGAAAUACAGCUCAACUUCUUUUUGAAUGGAGCCUUUCUUACAAGAUUCCUGGCACUGCUUGGGUCCAGCUGGAUCAGAAAUAAUUAAAAGAAAAAAGAAAAAAACCCCAAACAAAUAGCCUCUCUCUGAAUUCAGUGUUUCUUCCCUGGCCACAGUGUCGAUUAGGAAGUCAGCAAGGAUGUGUAUGUGUGUGGGUAGCUAAGAUGGAUGUGAGAUUACUCCAAUUAUUACCAUAGAUUUAGCUGCCACCUUUGUGACAAGGUCUCUAAAAACCUAUUUCCAGCCUCUCCUACUUCAUAUAUAAUGCUAGAUGUAUCACUGGUGUCUUACUCAAUGAAAUAUCUUUUAUCUGCCUUCCUCUCUCAUCCCACCUGGGCUCUUGCCAGGUCACAUAGCUUUGUAAUAGCCCUGAUAUCAAUUCUGAGAGUCACACAAACUUGAAUCAUCCUAUGACUCGUUUUAAUCUUUAUUAUUGCAUGUUCUUUAUGUCAGUGUACAAGAAAUACAUUUAUAUAGUCCACAGAGCCUGGGGUAGCACAAGUAGUCAUGUUAGUUAAAGGUACUAAAUGCAUCCCAUCCUUUCACUUAUAUGUGAGAAUGAAGUGCAAUGAAAUUGCCAGUUUAUUGCUUUAUUUUUCAUAGGAUUGUAAAAUCAUAGAAUGGCUUGAGACGGAAGAGGCCUUACAGAUAUCUAGUUUCAGCACCCUGGCAUGGAGUCAGGGUCUCUCUUAAUGACAUCCCAUCCCUCAUGCAUAUCAGCUGCACCAUGAGGCUUGUCACGUGCAAACUUGCUGAGGGUACACUUGAUCCCACUGACAAUUUAACUGAUGAAGAUAUUAAACAGCAUUAGUUCCAGUACUGACCCCUGAGAGACAUGAGACACUGACCACCACUGUCUGGAUAUGAUCUUAAAACCAGUUCCUUAUUCAUGGAACAGUCCACCCAUCAAAUUCAUAUAUUUCCAGUCCGGAGAGAAGGAUGUUGUGAGAGACCAUGUCAAAGCUUUAACUGAAAUUCAGAUAGAUGACGUCCGUUGCCCUUCUCUUGUCCACUAUACACUUACUCCAUCACAGAAGGCCACUAGGUUGGUCAGGCAGUACUUGUCCUUGGUGAAGCCAUGAUGAUUGUCCCAUAUCAACUCCCUUUCUUCCAUCUGACUUAGCAUAGCUUCCAGGAAGAUCUGUUCCAUGAUGUUCCCUGGCACAGAGGUAAGACUGACAGGUCAGUAGUUCCCUGGAUUGUCCUUUCUAUUCUUCUUAAACUGGUGCAACAUUGCCUUUUUUCCAGUUACUGGGAACUUCAUCUGACUGUCAUGACUUUUCAAAUGUUGUUGAGAGUAUCUUGAUGACUACAUCAGCUGAAUUCCUCAGGGCUUUGGGACUCUCUUUCUGUAAAUGUAGAAAGAGAUAAACCCUAGUGUUUACAGUCAGCUGCAGGCUUUGAGUAGGGCUGGGGAACUAGACCUGGAUGCUGGGCUGUGAAUGGAGCCAUUCUUCUCUCACCCAUUCCCUGCAGCAGCAGGGACACAAAAGUGCACAGGAUGAGCAGGAACUGUGGGGUCAGGCACAGCACUUCUGGGUUAAGCUGCUUCUCUCCUUUUCUUGAGGCAUCUCUUCUAGAAGACUUGGUUUAGCCACGAGUUAAGCACAUGAGGAACACAUGACCUUCUCAAAGCAAAGAACCUUUAUUGUACAAUGAACUCAGUUAGCAACAUGGGAAAGUUGUUCUGAGAAUAAUUAAAGCCUCACUGUUCGUUCUAUAAUGGAACAAUGUUUGAAAGUGGGAAAAGAAUAUGAUAGGGAAUUGUUACUUUUUUAAACUAAGUUUUCCAGAACCUUUCCCAUGUCCUUGGCUUGAACAUUUACCACGGUAUAAUGUGAAGAUGCUUAGUUGUUCUCACAUACAGAGCCAAAGGAGGAAUUUGCUGUUUUCCUACCAGUUCAUUUUCUUCUGUGGGCAGAUACUCCACUCCCUUCAGUGAAUGAGAUGAGAAAUUAUGUUGUAGCAUAAUUUGAAAAGGCAAGGGAAAAUAUCAUGCUGUUUGUAUAAUCCUCUCUUACUCCUCUAAUGUGUCUGUAAGCAUCUGGAUGUCAUUUUCUGCCUGUCUACUGAUUAGACAGGUUGUGCAAAGGAGAAUGACUCUGUUGCUGUAAUAAUAUUGACCUGGAAAAUUGGUCUGUAGAGCUUCCGUAUGAAAUUCUAAAGCCUUCUUACAAACAUUAAUGAAAAGAAUUUCACAACCUUCUGUCAGACAGGUAAAUGUUACUGUCAUCAUUUGAUGUCUGCAAGAACCAGAAGAGAGAUUAUGUGAGUUGCUCAAAGUGAAGUGACAGGGCUGAGAACACUACCCGGCUCUCUGUGCCAUGAGCAGAUAAAAUGUAGCAAAUUCCCAAUCCAUUUAAUUUUACUAACCAAAAAAAAAAAAAAAAAAAAAAAAAAGGUUAGUGUAAAGAUGAGAAACAUGAAAAGCAAUUUAAUCUGAGUGGUGUUGCUGAUAAGUUGUAGUUUUUUUAGUAGGAAUUGUGUGAGAAUGUUUCAGAGAAGUCACAGCAGAUACAAUGGAUGAUGUGUCACUGUAGUGCCCCUGUCUAAGCAGAGGCGUUGAGACACUGGGCUUUUGUUUCUGCAUCCUGUGUUUAUCUUCUGGUGAAAGUUGGUGCUGCUCGGUGCAAGGGAGCACAACUCUGAAUGCUGCUUGAUCUUUACUGUUGUUGGAAGAGCCUUAAAAAGAAGCCUGUGUUCAGGAUUUGACUACUGACAAACACAGUGAGACUGGCACCAUCCUUAUUGGUAUUUAGGUGAAAAUAUAGCAAAAGAUGGUAGGUUCAUCCACGCCUGAACUUUCUUGUAGUAGAAUUAAGCAGUGAUUUCAAUUCCACGUGACAGCCACCAUAUUUUCUUGUUCUCACCUAGGAGGAAAUGGAUGAAGAUUCUGCAGAUGCUAAGCAACUUGUAUCUCAGGGGAUUAAAAUGACAGCCUGUUCCAUAAAUCCUUGAGGAUUAACAACACAUAUGUUCAAGCAUCAAAUCAUAGCAAAAGAAAAAGAGGAGCUUGUUUUUGUCUUGGAGCAUUAUCACAGCAGAUAGUAGAGACAUGGAAUGUAUGUAUAUUAAGUAAAGUUGGGAAAAUGUAUAAGAGUAGAAUAAAAUUUCACUGUUUUUACCUUCUUUUGUUAAUCAGGCCAUUGUAUUGUUGUAUAUUUAUACUAAAGAGUUCAAAUACUUGGAUUUUUAUUUCAGAAAGGGUUUGUGUUCUUGUCUGAGUUAAUGCUUGAGAACUAUAUUAUGGCAGUGUAUUGUACCAACAGCAGCUACGCUCCUGCUAAAUUUUAGGUGAUUACCUGUGUGAGCUAUUCCACUUAAAAAUAAUUAGAAAACAUUUCUCUUGAGUUGCAGCGCUGCAAAUAGAAAUCAGUUCACGUUAGUUUUGAAACAGUCUUGUCGUCAUAAAUUUCCUUUUAUGAUCUUGUCUUCAUCUAGUUCACUGUAUACCCCAAAGGUUAUUUUCUUUUCAACCCUUAACGGUUAACAUACCAUAGAAAAAAUAUGCAGGUAUUUGAGAGGGAUGGGAUAUUGUAUUGGAACUGUUAAACUGAAUUCAGCUGCUGACUUACAAGUGUCAGCAUUUUCUGAGUUUUGUAAAGAAGUGAACCAUACUGGGUGGAUGCCAAAAAGUACUCCUUUAUGUUCUCAUCAGUGGUGUACACGGAUGAAACUCUUCAGCUGUAAGAAUAGUUGUUUCAUUUUUAAUUUAGCUAAACCUCUGGGGAUUUGAAUUUUGGGCAAAACCUUGGUGUGGUGAUUUAUUUACUGGUUUGGCUGUUUGGGGUGUUGAGAAAUUCUUGUUCUCUCCAUUUUGAGUAUCAAUACUGAAGUACUUUGUCAAGAUCCUUGCACUUUGACUAUUUCUAUCUGAGAUUCAAAGCACUUCUAAAUGAUCAAGAUUAUAUCUAGACUGUGAGAGAAAUGUAUUCAUGGAACACCAACAUCCUGUUUUAUUGACUGUCCCAGUUGUGCAUCUCCCUGUUUUGACAUUCAAAACAUAGUGAUUAUUAUUACAGACAUGGUUCGCUUAUAAUGUAUGGUGAAAUAGAUCAUUAGAGUAAAUUAUAUAUUCUUCACUGUAUGUGGUCAGACAUCACUGUACCAGAGGGCUUUACAGGGUUACUGUCCCUUUUCUGCCUGUGCUGUGUUGCUGUACUGCUCCUUCUGCAAGCAGCUUCGUUAUUCCUGCUUGUGGAAACAACACUGUAUCAUCAAAAUCACUUUGUGAAACUAUCUACAUAUUUCUUAUGGAAAGUAUUGAAAAUCUCCAAGAACCAACUAAAGGCAUAAUGAAGGUUGGUAGAUUGCUGAAACUCAGUCUGAUUCUGUGAUGUAAGAUACAAUAUAGGUACAUAAACUUUGGUGAUGAAUAACUAAAUCUUUUCUUUCUUUACUUCUAGUUAGCAUGUAGGUCCUUUUUUCUGUCUAUAAUCUACUUAGCAUGACACUUUCCUUGCUGCACAAGCAUUUUUUUAAUUAUAAAGAUAUUAUUCCAAUUAAAUAUUACACAUCCCUUCAGUGAUUACUUCUUCCAGGUGGAAGAAUCAUUAAUGACAGCAUUACUAGGUGUGUAAGUUUUAGUAAUCAGGCUGGAAAUGCUUUUAUUGGGGGCUUGGUCCUGUGAAGUGUUGUAUACCUUGGAUUGCCAAGGACUCCAGAAGCAACAUGAGCACCUAAAAUGAAUGCUUUGUAGUUUUUAGACCUGGACUUUGCUUCCCUUCAUAAAUUAAUUGGCUUAGGGAUAGGUGAUAGCAUUGCAAGUCUCACACAUAGAGUGUGGCUAGAAUCCGGGGACUGUGUUGACUGGUAGUCCAUUUCAACAUGACAGAAACUUUGCUCUGCCAUAUAUCUCACACACUGAAACAACAAAAAAUAUUUUUCCAUUCACUUGUAUGAGUUUAGCAUCCAUAUGCCCACAGCCAAAGAAAUAUUUCUCCCUAAAACUAGUUUGUUUGUGUCAGAAUCUUUCGUAAGUGGACUCUGUUUUUGAGGACUCUAGUGUUUAACCACUCUGAUGCAACCAAAUCAUUACCUAAAUGUGAGCUUUCAUGGAGUCAUAUCCAUAUACACCAUAUAAAUGCUCUGACACAAACAAUUUUACUAAUUACCAUUCUUUCUAUAACCUUUCUGAAUCAAAAACUGUUUAGGCCAAUAUUUGGAGAAAGCUAUUUCCUGCAAAUAAUUUAUCUUUCUGAAAAUGUAUUAUUUCUUAUUUUUAAUUUGUGAAACAGAGACAGAAACUCUCCACUACAUAGACUUCUGAGUACCUUUCUGGCUCUCAAACCUAUAAGAAUGCUCUGCUGCAAUUACAGGAGUGGAUAUUCCUUUUUGUCUUCCUGUACAUCAGCACGUUGACAUUUCAUCGGUGACAUGCAUUUUCCGUGUGACUUUAUCUAAUUAUUAAAAUCUGCCUGCUUAUGACUAUUUCAGAGUUAUCUCCUCUCAGAACUAUUAUCAUGCCUUAAAAUGCUUGCAACUGUGAAAACUCAUAGCCAGAUGUUUCCUAAUGAACAGUGUGUGCUAUGGUCAGUUACACGUGAACUGCAUAAAUACGAACUUUCAAAACAAUAUGUGUUUUGUACUCGAGUUGCUCCAUGCUAGUGACUGUCCCCACCAAAAGCAGUUUCCUGGCAGAAGAUAAGGGUACAGAAGCUGUUAGAGCACAAAACCCAGCCCUCUUUCUGGGGUGUUUUUAUAUAUGUUUUUUUGCACACCACCCAAAAGUGCUCUGGGAAAUCAUAAAGAUGCAGAAAAGGAUCCUUGCACACAUUACGUAUGGAAUAUCAGUGCAAUUGUGGUGCCAUGAAUUCUGUAUGCCAGGUUUCAAUUUUGGGACUGAAUGAAGUCACUUGUCUAGAAGUCAGGCAAAUUUAUCAGGACAGAAAGAUACUUUUCUAGGACAGUGCUUUCUUGGUGGAGUAAAAUUGACUUUUGGAGGGACUGCAUAUAUUCAGGUACCGUUUGAUUAAUUAGAAACAUUUUUAUUCAGCAUCUCAACUAUCUAUUUCUGAAAAACUGAAGCAACCACGAGUGGCAAUUUCCAUCUAAGAGAUAUAUUUUGUUAGGCAGUUUGCAUUUUUGUGCUUUUUAGGUAUGCAUAAAUAUAUUACUAUUAAAGAAAAAGAACUUAAGAAUCCAUUUUGGCCAUCGUUAUUUAUGAUUUUGGUUUUUAUGAUUGUCUUAGCUUCUGUACUUAUCACAGAAGAAUAACAGUGUCAGUGUAAUACAGGCGAUGCUUCACUGAUGAUCAGUAUUUUUCUGUUAAUCAUUGAUUACCUUUUCUUAUAGGAAAAAGGAGAAAGCAUAUGCAGUGUUGGUACUGUGAUGUUGAAAAAAGUUACAAAAUGCUGUCUCAAGGCAUUCCAUUACAUGUACCAGAGUAUUAUGUACUUCUUUGGGUUCUUCCUAGAAUAUGGAGGCUCUGGAUUCUUUCUUUGCAUUAGAAAUGAAAGUCCUCUCUAUUCUGGGCAGAAUGUAACAAGGAAAACAUUAGAAAAGCAAUCAUUAUACUUCCAAACAUAUUAAGUAUGUAUGUAUUUGGAUAAAUAUAAUUCACUUUUGUAUUUUAUUACUUGCUUUCUAGUACAAAGAAGGCAAGGAAACUCAUGAAAAUGCAGACCAAAGAAGUAGCACAUGAGUGUGUCUGCAUGCACUGAUUUAUAUACUAACUUCAUUACACAGUGAUACAAAACAUCUAGACAGCAAUGUUUCCCUGCUUUGAUAUACUGUGCAUAGAAAAAUUUAGCUUUGUAUUAGAGAUCUUUUAUUCACUGCCAUCUGAAUCUUUUGCUUCCCUCAUUGUUCUGCUCAUCUCUAUUUAAAAUACUGUUCUGAUUCUGAUCUUAGAGCACUAUAAACCCCCACAUAAGUCUAACAACUUCAAAGAAGUUUCUUCUUUACAUAGUUAUAACUAAGAUAUGAAUCUGGCCUGUAGGCACAUUCAUUUUAUAGCAAGUUAAAACAUGUACCCUAACUAUUAGCAAGUCCUUAAGGUUAACAGACAUACACGUGCAGUUAGAAUAGAAUAGCAGCUACAGUGCUUUUUUUUUUCUUCAUCCAGAGCUAUUUUUGGUUCCUUUCCCUUUGACACACAUUCCUGGUAACAGUUAAAAGCAGGUCUUUUAGUACAGAAUUAAUGCUGAUAACUGAGCGCUUUAUCAAGUACGUUUCCUGCUUGGAUGCUAGUUGUUUUAUGUAGAGUAGAAAUGUGAGGUCUGAUUCCCAUUUUACUUGCAGUGAUAUAAAUCAUCAGAGAUGGGGUGCAAGAUUCUGCGCAGGAAAAUGAUUCUGUGGAUCCAUUCAUAUUUGUUGCUUGACUAUCAAAAUAAUGCGACAGAGAAACAGGGACUGCUCAUACCUUUGUGGACUCAGAAUGAUCCCUGUCCCUUUUUGUGUAAAGUCUGCUUCUAGGAAAAAGCUUCGCACAAGGUUGUUCACGGCUUUCCUCUCCUAAAAGACUGAAAGCUGAUGCUGCAGCACAUUGCAAUGACAGUGACAAUUGUAGCAGAGAGCACUGAUGGAGUUUGCCUUGACCUAGGUGGGGAAGGUAAGACCUACUGAACAAUGUCUGCUACCAUUGUCUGUGUGGACCGUCAUGUUGGAGUUGGAGGUCCUAUUUCUGUGUUGACAAGGCUGUAGCCCUUGCGGGUUGACAUGUACUUGGUAUCUGUGCUUUGUCUGUGGGCAGAACAUACCCCUAAGGUGAGAGGAGAUCUGGAUGACCUUGUCUUUCACAAACUGCUGUGGUGAGCCUUCAUCCCUAAGGGCUCAAUUUAUGUAAACUACCAAGUGCCUCUGAGUCUAAUUGAUUUCCUCUAGCAACUCCAAAAAGAUGUAAUAACAAUUUUUGGGGGUCAAUUUUGGGAUCCCUCUUCACACACGAACUGCAGUAUCCAGUAAAAUUUCCUGAGAUGCAUAUAAGCUAACUCCCCAGGUGUGAAUUUCUGGGUGCAGGUAACAGAAGGUUCUUAGUGGAAAGUCCCCGGGAUAUUGACUCAUUUCCUCUUUUUUCCAUUAGGGUCCAGAUUUUCUGACUUUCAGUGUGCAUAGCCAGGAAUACUUAUUUAAUUUAACAUUCCUGUGCCUGGGCAAAAUGCCAGGAGGAAAAGAAUUUGUUUUAUCAGUGGGAGGGGUUGGCAGAUGGUGGCACGGCUUUGGGCAUUUGCCAGUGGUUGACAAUAUCAUUUGUUUAUUUUUCUUUAACUGUGCACUCUGCCUACACAUGGGAUUAUGAUAAUGGGGGCAAAUAUAAAUGAAUAGUGAUGAAGGAGAUCAGCUUCUAAGAUCCCCAUUAGGAUGGAAGGGUGUUAAACUUACAGCCUACAGACAUCUGCCUUGACUCCAUGCAGCCUAUUAACCGCAUGCACACACAUUUUUUUAAAGUAUCAAACUCCUGCCCAGGAAGAGUUUCCCUUCAAGGCUAGUAUGAAGUAUUUAAGUUUAUAUCAGUGGGAUUUAAGCACAUGCUUGUUUCCUGAAGUAGGACUUUGCUAAGUUUCAUUCUUUUCAACUAAGUCUCUGGACUGCUGUGUAUUCUUCAGAGAGAAAAUGCAGCCAGAAAGUCAGGAUUUCCACUGAGAUGAUCUCCUUAAUCCAGUCACUGGAUUUCCAAGCAGGCUACAGUUGCAUUUGAAAAUGGCCAAAAAUAAAGGAAAAAGGUGUUAUUUUCAUAACGUAUGGUGGAAUAAAUGCUAUAAGUACGGUCACCAGUGAAUGAAAAACACUUGAUGUUAUUCAAGUUAUGUUUUGCCAAACAUAUACUUCUAAGUAAGAGUAAAGGUAUAGUAAGUAAAGAAUUUAAUAAAGAGCUUGUUCAUUUAAUAAGAACUAGACUAGUUAUAUACACAGUUCAAUAUGCAAAGGAAAAUCUCAUGUGGUAUGAGUAAAGAUCACGCAGUUGGGCUUUUAAGUCAUCAACUAGAUAUGGCAUCUAAAUCACAUACUUUAAGUAAAGAGAGGCCAGUUAUUUCUCCUGCUAUGACAUUGUUUGAAAUUGUUCCAGAGCUUGCAAGCUUAUGACACUCCAGGAAAUCAGCACACAUUAUAGUAGCACUUCACAGCUCAAUGUUGCCCAGAAUAUGGACUUGGGUCAAAACAGUCUCAUGCAGUGGUAGAGGUUUGGGGAAUGGUGGCUGGAAAGUUGCCUGACAGAAAAGGCCCUGGGGCUGCUGGCCAACAGCUGGCUGAACAUGAGCCAGCAGUGUGCCCAGGUGUGAAAGAAGGCCAACAGCAUCCAGCAUCUUGGCUUAUAUCGGAAACAGUGUGACCAGCAGGACUAGGGAAGAGAUCAUUCCUCUGUACUUGGCACUGGUGAGACCGCACUGUGAGUAUUGUGCUCAGUUUCGGGCCCCUCACUACAGAAGGGAUAUUGAGUUGCUGGAAUGCAUUAAGACAAAAGCAGUGAAGCUGGUAAAGAGCUAGUAAGCAAGAAUUAUGAGGAGUGGUUGAAAGAGCUGGGACUGUUUAAUCUGGAGGAGGCUGAAGGGAGGCCACACAGUUCUCUACAACUACUUGAAAGGAGGUUAUAGCAAGGUGGUCUCUUUCUUUAGGUGACAAAUGAUGGGACAUGAGACAAUGGCUUCGAGUUGAACCAGGGAAGGAUAGAUUAGAUAGUAAGAAGUUAUUCACGUAGAGAGUGGUCAAACAUUGGAAUGAGCUGGCCGGAGGAAUGGUUAUAUUUAAGAAAUGUGUGGAUAUGGAACUAAGAGACAUGGUUUAGGGGUGGACUUGUUAGCAUUCGGUGAUGGUUGGACUUGAUGAUCUUAAAGGUCUUUUCCAAUCUAAGUUCUUCUAUGACUCUUAUAUGGUGCAGCAGCCUCCUGGGAAAAAAAAAAAUCGUUGCUACUAGUGUUCAUUAAAAUGUCAUCAAUGCUUUCAUCUGAAAUACAGCUCCAUAAGUUAGCCACUUGCAUGUACUUUUUCCACUGUGCUUUCUUGUGUAAAGUUGAUUAUUAGAAAAGUUUGCAAAGAAUAAGCUUCACCCUAGCUUUUAAUAUGCAGAGACUCCUUUGUUUUUCUUUUGUAUGUGACAGGCAGUGCUUCAGUUUCAGAAACUUUAGGUGGAUUUCUUUUGAGCACAUGCUCAGAUCAUAAUUCCUAUAAUAAUCUAGCUGACGCACACAGUACAGUAUGCAGCUAGCAGUGUCUUGUGCAGCUAAACCUUGUGUUUCCUUCAUGGUGGUCAAUAUUCUAGAUUUAAGGGCCAAGUAUUCUGGUUGGAUUACACCUGUUGUUACAAAUUAUGUUCAAGUAAAUCAUGUGAUGCUCCAUCAUACAGUCAGGUGAUCGUUGUUCUGCAUCACUGGAGAUGUUAUACAACCACAGUGGCAGCCCAGCACUAAGAGAGCAGGGUACUUGUUCUGGAGUUCCAAAGAGGCAAUUGGCCAUCAGAAAGAAAAACAACUUAGUUAGAUGACUUCACACUAAACAUCUUGAGUCAAUUCAACAACUGAAAAUACUCUUUAUUCCAGAAAAAGGAUCUUAUAUAUAAUUUUCCCAUGAAAAACCACAGUUUUAUGGGAAAUGCAUUUGCCUUUGGUAUGUUGCUACAGUGAGUUGUCCUUGAUCACUUCUAAUCAUUUAAACAUUUUAGCUACGUGUGGUAUUAUUAUUUACUCUGACAUACAAACAAUACAGUACUGUGUCCUUUGCUCUGCUUUUUACCUGUGCUGGUCUCCUUUCCUUUUCUCUACGUCCAUUAGUUUGCAUUGGCCCUAAAAUGUUGACUAGACAAACAGAUCAUCUAACCUCACCCAGCCAGUCAUAUUUCAGCUAAUUACCUUGUGUGGUCCCAACCCCCAAGCAAUUUUCAUGUAAACAAGUUUCAGGAAUUGUAGAUAAUUCCCUUGCUGCUCUCAAGUUCAGACAGGUGUUUUCUUUGUUUUUGCGAAGGUUCUAUUCUGUGUCAUUAGUCUUUGUAAGUCAUUAUUUUUUGUUUUAACUGCUUUGAUCUAUUCACUAACUUCAAACUGGCCUUUCUAAGUAAAAGUUGACUCCUUUAUGUUUUCAUUGAUUGAUUUUUGUGUUAUAAUAAUGUUUGUAAACACAGCUUAGUUUCAUUCAGUUUUUCAUCUGUGCUCAAAUAAAUGAGAUUUCUACCACAGAUAAGACCCACAAAUCUUUCUUUCCCACUAGGAAAAGUACAGAUAAUCCUAUGGCAACAGCUGUCAGGUAAAAGCCCAGCCUAAAUCUCACUGAGGAUGCAUGUACUCCAGGGUGAGCUGGUCUGCAGCAGGCUCAGCUUCUGCAGGUUACAUUAUAGAGAAGAUUCAAAUGUUUCAGAAGAAUGAGAAAGGUGUCCAUUCCAAAUGCCAGCUUCCUCCCUGUGUGAGGGAGAGAAGUGAGUUCAGGUGAAGCAAAAUGUAGCCCCUGAAAUCUUCAUUCUUACUCUUACCUCCAACUUUUACCUUUCCAACCUUUCGUUUUCAGCUGUAGCUAGUCUUGGCUCAACUUUGGAAUUAGUACUUGUUUAUGGUAUCAGUGUGUACAAGCAUUCCUCAGUAUUCUCCAGCAGAAGCAGUUGGUCAUGAUCCUGACUUUUUAUAAGUAGUUCAAAGACUUCCACAAUCCUAGAGGAGAAGCAGGGUCUCUUGGUAUACAUAUCUUAUGAAGAAGAGUAAGCAAAUAUGCCGUCUAAAAAUGAUUUUAAAGGUCACAGCAAGUAACAGUAAAGUGCAGUAGUAUGUUGUGGUUACCAGUGAACUCUUCUCUCCUUACAUACUGAAAACUAAGGUGACAUGUUAGACUACUUCUAAAUUGAUUGGAUUUUGGGGUUUGAUUUGUCUAAAAUCCCUUUAAAAGAACUUUAAAAAAAAAAAAAAAGCUUCCAAAGGGAAGUUGUCAAACUAAAAUAUUUCUGAAUUUUAUUGCAUAUGGUGAGAAGCAUAGAGAAAAGAUACAAAAUCGCUGAGGGAAAUAAUGGUACUUAUCUAAAGCCUUUCAUCUCUGUAACUGGUCUGCACUGGUGUUCAUGAAGCUAUAUUAAUGUCAUUGUGAUCCUUGAAAUGAGCUAGGUGUUUUCUUCUGUUCAUAACAUGUAUUUUUUUAUUAUUAUUAUUUCCUAAGGAACGUUCUGUUAGAAGAAUAUCAUAAUAUAAUAUCAUAACUGAUAUUAGUAACACCUUCAUCAGUCACCAGUGGAAAAUCCAUGAAAUCCUUAACACAAAUUCUGUUGGUUUCAGGCAGGAGAACAGCACAGAUGCUGUAAGUUUCCAGGACCCAGCUGUCAAAUAGUGUGUGUAGAAAGCUAUGAUUUAGAAUUUCCUCUCUAAGGCUUCCCAGCAGUGAGCCUAAAUGCAGAAUGUGGGUUAGGGAGCCCACAUUCUCCCUGGGGAGAUGAAACAAACAUGCCCAGGAGCCAGAAAAGAAUCUUAUUUCUGUUCUCAUCUUAUUUACAGCCUGCUUUCAAACCAGCUGAGAUUUCCAUACUGUGAAACUUGGAUUCAGAUAAAAAUGACUUUGUGCUACUCUGAUCCUAAUUUUACUUCCAAGCUGUAGGGUUUUGUCCACCUCAGGGAAUAAUGCAAAAUAGAUGCAGGAUGAUUGUGGAAGAGUAUUUUUGCAACACUGUUGCCUUCAUGGUUGGAGAUUCUUGGUUUACUCAGUCGGCAAAUCAUUCGCGGCCUUCAUUGGAAUUUCUGCCUCUUAGAGCAAAGAUAAAUAAAUGAAAAAAUAUAUGUUUCCAAGAAACGGAAGUUGCAUAAACACGAUUUGACUUGACAAUAAAAUAGUGCUGACCUGACAGCGCCAUCAGGGCCUGAUGGACUAAAGCUUUAAUUCUCAAGAUCACAAGGCAGACCAGUGCAUAUAUUUCCAUCGCUGUCUUCAGCUUAGUUUCUAUGUGGAGGCAUUUACCUUGUCUUCUACUUCUAUCUCAGUGCUUUAUAGAGAAUGUUGGAGUAUGCUCUUACAUCCUUGCUGUGGAGUGUAGAGAGACAUUUUCCAAGUAAGCAUAAUAACUGCCUUCUCAAGGCAUAAUGCAGUGUACUGCCAGCACUGUCAGUAUAGGGGGAGUAGCUGUAGUGUUCCUACUGCUGUGAUGGUUGACAGAUAUGAGAAAGCACUCUUACUUUUCUGUGUCUUCUACCUACAUCACACAAAUGAACCAUUUCCCUCAACUUCUGUUUGUUAGUAAACUUAGAGAAAACACUGACAUAAAUUCAUUCAUGGUUAGGAUUUAAGUUAAUUCUCUUUCCUAGACUUCUGAACCAAUUAGGAUUUAGCUAACUGUUUAUUUUCCCCUCAACUUGCAGAUCUGGAAGCAGAGUAGAAGCAGACCCAGUUCAGUGUAAUCUGUAAUAUUACUUCCUUCCAUUUUCUCUCUUUUCCUGUGAAAUCUAGUUCCCCAGGGCCCACAAAUCUGGGACAAAUUGGCUGUUGAUAUUUUCCAAUUGUUUGUUGAUGGAAAAGGGUGUAAACUGAUCCAUGUAACUUGGAAAGUUUUAAAAUAUCUCUCCUAUGACAUACAAAGCCAUGCUUUGUCUUCAUGAAAUUAGAUUGUUCUCAUAAAGGCUUAACAAUACAGAGAAGUGUUAAAAAAAUGUGUUUUAUUAAUAUCAUAGUGUAGUAAUGUAAGGUCAUAGCAGCUGAGAAUUGCUUGAAUUUACUCCAGAUGUUGCUUAAAAAGCCCUGAUUUUUGACAGAUGUUUGAGAAUAAAAUAUAGAGCAUGGCGACAAAGGACUUUUGUAAAUGUUACUCUAUGUUACAAACUUCUCAUCGAGGUGCUAAGGCUCACUGAAGUUAUUUGGUGCAAUAGAGGAAAGUUUGUGCCCCUACUAAGGGAAGUGAGUUCAUCUGUAAUACCAGCUGCCAGAAAAUGCCACAUGGGAGAGAGAUGACAGCAAUCUGGAAAAUCACUCUGAUCAGACACUGUACUUUAAGAAGGAAAUAAAUUGCACUGUAUACAGAGCUGUAAGUAUCUGACCUUUGUGACCUUCACUGCCAACUGGUCUCUAAUUUAAAUGAACUGUGCUGCAAACGUCAUUGUUGAAAUAUUAUUUUGAUAAAAACAGAGCAAAAGGAGAUGGUUUAGAUUUAAGUUUGAAACAGGAGAAUUACAUAGUUUGCUAGAAAUCCAGAACUCUUUUUUUAUUCCUUUUGCUCUUCUUUUUUUUUUUAAUUGCAUGAAACCUGUAGAGCACCUUGCACCUGGCACUCCUGGAAUUAACGCUAUUAAAAUCUUUGCUUGUGCUUCUGACAAACAACUACUCUUCAUGCUGUACCCAAAGUCUCCAUUAAGAUUUACAACAACUGAAUUUAAAAUAGGAUUGUCUCUGCACUGAGGAAAACCAUUUGCAAAUAGCAUUUUAGUUUUCUUUCUCAACUAUUACUUUAAAAUUCUCAUUUAUGAAGCUGUUGGCAGGAGACAAAGUCUUAAGCUAAGUGCACAAUAGCAGUACAAACUUUGCUACUUGAGAAGUUCAAGGAGGUUAAGUUCUACUUGGUGAUGACUUUCCCCGCAAAUCUCAUUCUCAUGUUUUGAAUUUUCAGACUCUUCUCACUGUGUGGUCAAUGGAGCUGAAAGACAUGUUCUAGGUGAACGUGUCCUUACAUCUAAAUGUGUGUUUGAGUUUAUAUUCAACUACUGACUAUACAAGUCUAAUGUAUACCUUGUGCUGAAUCAGCCCGUUCCCUCCCCACCAGAUGUCCUGCACCCUUCUCUUGGAGAUAUUUUCUCUGCUUCCCAGUUACCAUGUAGCCCAAGUGUUUGUGCCUGGGUUGUUCCUGUGUACGUAAUAAAGACAGCUUCAGUUAGAGUUGAGAGGCAUUUCAGUGUCCUAAUUUAAACCAUCCUCACUAUGGUUGUCAGAGGAGGUGGCCACUCUUGUGAAAUAAAGACAAUUUCUCUUCCUCAGUUUCCUGUAGAAAGGAAGGACUGUGCUUGGAUGAGGUAAGCUGGAGCCUGAAACUUUCUGUUUGCUGACAGAAUGGAUAAGAAGUCAGAUGCAAUGUGAACUUCACGAAGGUCCGUCACAAACAAAGGCAGAUCAGUUAGAUUGUGAUUCAGAAAUGUGUUUAUGUAUGUCCUCUGCUUUGGACACUUGUCUGAUUCAAGUUUAAUUCUGAAACCUACCUGCGUUCUUAAAGCCAGGAGUAAUCUGGUGUGAGUGAAUCAGGGGAAUGGCUGUUUGUCCUGGUUUCAGUUGGGAGAGUUAAUUUUCUUCCUUGAGGCUGGUAUGGUGCUGUGUUUUGGAUUUAGGAUGAGAAUAAUGUUGAUAUCAAACCAACGUUUUGGCUGUUGCAGAACAGUGCUGCACAGAUCCAAGGAUGUUUCAGUUUCUCAGAGCUGGGGGUGCGCAAGAAGCUGAGAGGGACAGAGCCAGGACAGCUGACCCAGACUGAACAAAGAGAGAUCCCCUACCUUAUAAUGUCAUUGAACAGUAAAACGGGGAGUUGGCCAUGGGGUUGCCACUGACUGGGGACUGGCUGGGCAUCAGUUGGCAGGAGGUGAGCAAUUGCAUUGUGCAUCACUUGUUCUGUAUACUCUUCUUGUUAUCUUUUUUUCCUUUCCUAUUUUUUCUUAUUAAACUGUCCUUAUCCUCAACCCACAGGUUCUCAUGCUUCUACCUUUCUGAUACUCUCCCCUCAUCCCACUAGGAGGGAGAAGAGGGCAAAAGGUUGUGUGGUUCUGAGCUGGUUUAAACCACAGAAGUCCUUUUUGCACUGAGUGUGAGGUGUGAAAGACUGAGAUAAUAGCAGAUCUGACCAUAGUAUGUUAAAACAAAUUUGUUGUAAAAAUUAUGUUAGUUUAAUAUUUGCCGGUCACAUUGUUGAUUUAUUUUUUUCACAGUGUUGAUAUAUUUGUUGAUAUAGUUUCUGAUUUUCUUGAAUCUUUUCUUGUUGUUUAUCAUCUCCAGGGACUGGCCUAAGUUUGUUUACAAUUUUGCCAGUUUGUAUGUAGCAUGUGCUCAUAUUAGACUGACCAGGAACUUAAUCUGUUAUUUUCACUCACUUAAGGCUAUCAUUCUUGCACUUCAGGAGCCUUACAGUGAGAAUUAUUAAAAAAUACAGUGUUUACUCCAGGCACAUUAAAAUAGUUUUCAAAAAUUUUUGAAUACUCUUGGGAUAUUCACACUAGUGUGGUCCUGUUGCUAUGUCUUGUGCCACGUGCUUCAAUUUUUAUCUGUUGUUAAGCAGCUAUUUAAGAAUGCUACCCUGAGAUCUUCACUGAAACAGGAUGGUUAUGGGUGGCAAGGUGUGUAGGAGAAUAUAGGCAGGUAUUUAUCAGAGUUGUCAUCUUUGAUGGUUUUGGGAUUCAACUCUCAACAAGUAGAGAAUUCUAAAAAAAAAAGGUAUGCCCUCAUUCUGGCAAUGCCAGUGAUUUACAGCCCACUGCACUGUGCUGGAGUCUGGCUUGGACCUAUCAAGCAUUAUUCAACACUAUUCAGCACCUCCAAAAGGAAGAAAACAACCCUGGAUCUGACCCAACCUCUGCAACAGGCCCAGCUGCUGAACCAGAAAACCAACUCAUGCUGACAUCAUAUAUCCCUAUAUUCAAGAAGAAACAAGGGAACUGAAAGAUAAUUUGUUAAGGAAGACAAGAAACUUCUAAGUAGAAAGGGAAGGAAGAAAACAUGGACAAGGCAGGCUGUGCUGAAGAAAGGCCAUACAAGAAAGGGAGGAAGAAGCAGUAAAUGUGGCAGUAUUCACCCAAUCCCUAUCUCUGUGUGAGCUGAAACAUAUGCAAAAAGAUUCAGCCCUCCUCCAGGUGUGCACAUUGUCACCUGGCUGCUUUGAUGCUUGGAUAAUGGGGCUGAUAGCCUGGAAUUAGAGGGCAUGGAAGUGAAAGAUCUGGGAUCCCUCUCUAUGGAAAUGAGCAUUGACAAAGCAAUUAUAAAAAGAGGCACAACCCCUCAGACUCUUGAGGUGACUCUUGUUAUCUGUGAAAAAGGAUAUCCCUACAAGGAAGAUGUUCUAUGUAAACCAGACAACCAUGGAGAAAGAUAUCCGGUACCUGAGGGAAUUAGGCACUCUGGAGGUGAUGUGUUAUGACCUGGACAGUGAGCAUUUAUCACAAGAUCCAGAUAGUGUCAAAAGCAUUUGAUGCAUGUGGAAUAAAUUUGUAUAGAGGACAGUGUCGUCCUGUGCCAUCACACUGUCUGUAAUGAUCUGGAAAAAGAGAGAGGAACUGACAGCGCAUGAAUUGGCUAGCCAACUCCAUCAGUAUGAAGAAAGUCUCUCUCUUCCUCCUUAUGGGCCUGCAUCUCGACUGCUGAGAAACUGGUUCAGGAACUCAAAGAGAGAGAAUGUCUUUUCUCCCAUCUGUACAGAGCAGAAUCUCAGCUACUAGGAGUAAACAUUCUUCUCAAGAGAGCUGCAACCAGAUGAGGUGAACACUACCUCAUAUCUGCUAUUGAUCUGUGGAUGACUUUAGGCAAAUCGGGCAAUGUUUAUGACUUUCUUUACUCUCUGAGACUCUUUUAGUCAACUGCGAAUUUCCUGGAGCUCCUUGGAUGAAAGUCUAUUCAGACCACCCUACUGCAGCUUUGGCCAUCCCUCUAACCUUCAAUUUCUGUCCUGAAAUACAUGAAUGCUGAAAGGCCAUUAUCAUCUCCAGUGUACUGCAAAUGAAAACAAAACAAUCAUGCCACCUUCUUUGGACAUCUCUGCCUGCAGGAAAAUAUGAUUCCUACACCACAAGGCUGGUCAGGUGCCUGCAGUUUGUUGGAUCUCUAAGUACAAUUAGAAGACAAACUCCUUGAAGCACAGCCUAACCCUAGGCUAUCACUUAUAUUAUAGCCUGAGUGUGCCAUCCGCACAAAGCUCAUAGCAGCAGGCAUAAUACUAGCCCACAAAAAUUAAGAACUGUUAUGUUGUUAAACUCUUUCCAAGGUGAAGGUUUCUAUAGUAAAGCGUGUAUGGAAUUCUGUGUCAUACUGAAGGAAGAGGAAUAAGUCAUGUUAAAGAGUUACUAAUGUGUAUGGAGAAAAUUAUUUAAAAAUAAAUAAAAUAAAUAAAUAAAAUUAUUUACAAAUAACUUUAUCCAGGUCCUCAAAUUUGGGCAUAGACAGAAUAUAUAUUGUCCCAAUAGAUUCAGUGGAACAUUUUGGCUGGGUCACAUUCUUUUUCUUUCCUACAGGUGUGUAAAUAAUCAGUUAUCUGAACAGUUUAAAAAGAUGAAUCCUUUUGAAGACUUCUGGAUAUGUUUACUGCAUCCAGACUAUGCAAGCACUGUCUGGUUAGAAAUGCUGUCGCUUGUAUAGACCUCCUUAAAAAGGUCUGCCAAGUCACCACAGAGGCCAUCAGGAAGACUGUGGUGAUUAUUGCCGUCUCCUAUUUCAUGCAAACUCUGUAGCACAGUCAAAACUGCAAAAGCAAUACAUCACUUUCAGAAUGAAACAGCAACAAUAAAAAAUCUCAACAGAUUUGGGAGCUUUUAAUAACAGUUCUUUUCCAGGUAUCAGAAAACUGAAGAGUUAAAUAGAGAGAAUAAAUAGACGUGAAUUUCAUAAAGAUACUAACCAAGAGUAGCGAAAGAUGGAUGUUUCCCAAAAGGUUCAGAGGGUUCAUUUAGUUCAGAUGAUAACUCAUAAUAACUUGGCUAUUUAUCCACAGCUAUCUUUUGAAGUGAGGAAUGUUUUAUCUAAUGCUAUUUGUAUUAAAAUCAGUGAGAGAUCAUUCGCUGAUCUUCUUUACAAAAACUUUUUGUGUGCCAGUACUAUGCCUGACUUCAGCAUUUGAAAAAGAGACGUACAUAGCAAAUGUCAUAGUCAAUACUCACAACUCUGACUAAAUAGUUACAGAUUUUAACAAGAAGUAAAACCACCACAUAAGAUCUGAGAUUACCAACAAACGUGGAUUAUUUUAUUUUACAAGGCCCAAUAAAGAUCACUGGUCUUUUGAAACAGUAGUUGCUUAAUAUUUUGACAAGGCUCUAUAUAAUUAGAAGCCAGAGAAGUAGCCAUAAACUGCUCAUAUGAUAUAUCAAAACUACCUGUAUAAGCACAGGGACGCUUAUGUUUUAGAGGAGAUGGGAAAAAUAAAUGUAGUGAGGUAGCAAAUGCUUUUUCUGUGUAGUGGAAGAAUCAUCUGAGACCUCAUUUUAUUUCUCUUGCAUUCAGCAGUUUAAUAUUUCAAGAAGGGGUCAUUCAAAGGUUCCAGUAUCCCGAAGACCUUCACUCAUUUGCUUAUUGGUAACAUUUCUGAAACAUUUUAAAAGGUUUAAAAAAAAUAUUCUCAGGAUGACAAAAAAGGAAUAAAAUCUCAUCUUUCUACUGUCAUAAAAAAACCCAAACAGAUAAAUACACAAAUGAAAUGCAAAAUCCCAGUAGUUCUACAAGGGCAUUUAUGUUUUCUUUUUAUGGCCUAGUUCAACUCUUGCACUAUUGGAGCUAGCUAUUGUAAAUGCCAUUCAUGUGAAAAACAUCAGAAAGAGCUGAGAAUGCACUACCUGUCUUUUAUUUCUGGGAUGUUUCCUGUUGAAAUGAAAUAAAUACUACAAGUAAAAUGCCCACUUGAGCCUUACCACUUUUGUAAACAUUCCUAAAUGACGUGCUAAGGAUUGUUUACACAAGCUGUGCCAGCUGCUUAAUGGUUAAAUACUUUACCUUUCUUCACACUGAAGCAGCAGGGAAGGAGGCAUAUAGGGGAGGAACAUGCAAUUAUGAGCAAUCUAAUUGAUCAUCCAAAGACCAUCUGGAAAAUCUGCCUGCCGAUGGACAAACUGCUGGUGGAGUGCGUUUAACACUUAACACCCAACACUAUGCUCUGUUCAAGCAAUUGACAGACUUAGGGGAAAACUAUCCGGCACCAGCUUGGCUUUCCCCACUGCUCAAACACAUGAACCUACCUUUUCAGAAUUGUUUCUUUACCUGAAGUAAGCUAAAUGUACUGACCAACUAUAUUUUGCAAUAAAUUACCCAGAUAAGCUAACUAAGCAUUUCAUACCUGCGUUGACUAUUCUUACUGCUUUUUAUGGAGUUGAAUCCUCUUAAAUCAUAUGUUAAUUAUAUUGUUGAGAUUUACAGUGUUGUUACAGUGGUAUUUUCAACUCAGAGAAUCUCAUUUUGGGAUUUUUAAUAAAAGUAGCUACUCAAUUACUUAUCAGGAAAUGGAAAUAUAUUUUCAUGUAUAUGAUUUUUUCCCUUAAAUGAGUCAUCUCAGCUUAGCCCACAACAUUAAGGUUUUCUUCCACAAAGUACUUAAACAGAAGUGUAUAUUUAAACAUGUGACCAGUGGUACAGUUUCAAAGAAUGGCUCAUGCUCCUACGCUUACAAAUGUUGAAAGGCCUUGUUGAAUCAGCAGCUUCAGCAAAAUUGGCAAAGUCACAUUUCUCUGGAUCACAUUUAGUUACUUUAUAUAUUUUUUUUUUUAAUUUUUUUUUUUAGAGCAUAGGUCUUAAAAACAGGAAAACCAGUGGGAAAAAUCCAUGAUUCAACUGGUAUUUAACAGAGAACAUAGUGAUUAUAGCCAAAUAUAGAGUCCUGUGAAACCAUGCCUGUUAGUAGAUAAUUACUCCCCAAAACAGAAGACGCACGCCUCACCAGGCACGUCGUGCAUUUUUAAACCUAUUUUUUUCAAACAUACAUUCAGCCUUACCUACAGCUUGCAUUACCAAGCAUACAUGAGUGUAGUAAAUACUCAGCCACCCAACACUGAUCACAAUAAAGCUAGAGUUUUAUUGAAAGAUAGUAAGGUACUGCUACACGAAAGAAUUUUCCAAUACAGUAGCACUGAAUGAAAGGAGAGUCAUGAAGCCUUUGGGAUAUAUAUUUUAUUUUUCCAUUGCAUUUGGUUCCUUUCAGAACGUAAACAAAGGGUUCACAGUGCUGUUUGGCUGUCUCCUGCUUCUUCAGGCAAACAGAUUUCUGUUUGCUUUAAUGUGACGUAUAUGCGUUCAUUGUUUUCACUAAGAAGAGGUUUGUGUUUUGACACAAACACUGCAGAGGAAUCUGCAAGGGAUCAAAAGGAGGGAGCCUUCAUAGUGCUGUAGGCAGGAUAUGAAGCAUUUCAUUCACUUCAGUGUUAACUUGACUGUUCUAGGCCAAAUCCUGACCAUGCUGAUGGUCAGUGGAUGGAAAAGUUCUGGCUUCCAGAGCCAGAAUUCAUCUUAGAAACUGACCAGGAUUCCUGUGUGGGGGUACACCCUUUCCAUUCCUGAUAUUAAAAUAGUGUGGCAUCAUUUUCAGUCCUGGCUAGAAUUACCUUGGAUGUGGUCCUGUGCGACCUGCAGGUGUUCAGCUUUGAAAAUUCUGUCUGCUCCUCCCAUGUGCAGCUACACAAAAUCUUAGAUGAAGCCCAGUUUCUUCCUUUCUUUCUUUCUUUCUUUCCAAAUGUCAGCAAAACCUUCUUAGGUCUCCCUUGAAAGACAGAAAAUUUCCAAAUUAAGCUGCAAACUAAAGAGAUAUAUUUCAUGAUCACUGGAAGGACUUAAGUGCUCUAAUUUUGACAGUGUUUGCAAAGAACUUUGCAUAUAGAUCAGUGGAUGAACAACUCAUCUCAUCCACUUUCAAACUGCAUGCAUUUGCCUUCUGCUGAUCUGUCCCCAUGACUACUGAAGGGGAGACUAGGCUGAUACUAGGCCGACUCAAGGGGACAAUCAAUCCUUCCCUUGGGCACAUUUUAAAUACUGAUGCUCAGAUGCCCAGGCAGGACUUGGUAUAAAAACAAGCAUCUUCCAGUGGCCAGGCCCAGGGUUCUCUCUGUUUUGAGAAAACACAAGUUAAUUUGCACACAGAUAAUUUGCUGUAUAUAGAGAAGCAUAAGUGCUUUGGCAUAGUUGUGUGGGGGACCUAAUCCAAGGACCAUUGCUGCUGAGUGGCCAGCAUAUCGUACCUUUUUGUGCCUUCCUAUGUUGGAGUUUCUGGUCUCUAAGUCCUCCUAUGAUCAUGAAAAUACACUUUAAAACUUAAGAAGAAAUGCCAAAAAUAUAUAAAUUUAUAAACUAAACCUAACCCACAAUAAAAAAAGUAGGUCCCAAACUAAUAAGUUGCAAAUACAGUGCUCUGUAUGUGUGGGAGGGACAGAUAAUUGAGGGCUGUGUUAUGAUUUUGAACCCGUGCUGGAUACUUGUGGUACAUUUUCUCUUUCAAAGAGUAUGUGAGAGGUGUCAGCCUUCCAAUAAAACACUAAAUAUUUUAAAACAACAACACCCCUCGUCUGGCGGCUGUAUUUCAAAGAACAAACAUCAGUCCAUUGUCUGGCUUCUGCCGUCAUCUUGUACAUGGAGAAAGCCAAAGACUCCAAAUAAUUUUGUGGCCUCGGGCAUCAACAAUAAACAAUGUAUAUUUGAUGUGUUGGCCUAAUUUCUGCCCAUUGAAUCUGCCAUUUUAAAUCUGUUUGCACGCUAUUUUUAUUUAUUUUUUACAUUCAAGGUCUUUGUAGGCCCUGUGAUCUUUCUCUGCACCUUUCUCAAGUGGUACAGUUUCAUAUUUAGGAUGAUACUCUGAGGAACAGACAAUCAAAAUACAAUUUUACACUAAAAGACCAGAACAUUGUAGAAAUGGUUUUUGCAGAAUUCUGCACUUUCAACCUGGUGAACAUGGCUAUUUGUACACUUUUUAAUUACAUUAGCAAAUGUUUGGUCCUGAAAGCAGGGGAAAGGAAAUAUAAUUAUACUGACAGAGGAGACAGAGAAUAUUUAUUGAUUACAGUUUCUAAAGUUCUGCUAGAUUUCUGCUAUGAAAAUUGUUGUCCUGAAGGGAGACUGUAAACCUAUUUUUGAAGAUCAGUAGGUCUUAAGAAGAGCUGUUAUACUUCAGAUAAUUGCUUUAUCCUUUUUCGUAUGAUAUAUAAGCUCUUCUAACACUCGUGGUACCAACAUUUGUUUGUGACUUCUAUUGCACUCAGAGUAGCCAUUGAUUCAGAUGACAGAUCUGCUCUUUGGUCUCUGCAAAGCUGUAUUUUCAGAAGACUAAAUUACUCCUUUUUCCUCCCCAUUCCUCUGAGCUCCUCUCCCUGGGGCUUCACUUUGCAACUCAGACUCAACACAACCAAAGAACCAACUCUUCUCAGAAGAAAGAGUAAUAUGCAGUCUAAAGCAGCAUUAAGUAUACCAUAGUAAUUUAUUAAUGGAAAAAAAGGUUGUGAUUAACAUACAGGGAAUAUUUCAGUGCUGAACCUUGGUAAAGGUAUGACAGGUAUGAAAUUCUCAGCAGUGGCAAUUAAAAAGCUUUAAUACACAAAGAAAACUGUUGAAUGUGAUUUUGUAUUUUAUUUACAAGCUGUGGCAAGUGCCACAUAGUCGAGGCUUCAUCCUCAGAUUAUGUACCUACAUGUACAUUAGAGUAGCUGGCCACAUAAGUGUGCAAGUCAUAAAAUCUAAAAUGCUUAGAAGGAAGUAGCUGAGCCACUACAGUAGGAAAUGCCACUAGGGCUACACUGAGGAGGUAAAAUUUCCAGCUAGAAGGAAGAUAAGGG